GGUGGCUCAGUGGUAGAGCACUUGCCUUGCAAGCUUAAGGCCCUGGGUUCGAUUCCUCAGCACCA
This 65-nucleotide transfer RNA is filed under the name Dipodomys ordii (Ord's kangaroo rat). It matches the Rfam family "tRNA". From Rfam's summary of the family: Transfer RNA (tRNA) molecules are approximately 80 nucleotides in length. The record is from Rfam by way of RNAcentral. Lineage: Eukaryota; Metazoa; Chordata; Mammalia; Rodentia; Heteromyidae.